Molecule: long non-coding RNA, 683 nt
Organism: Homo sapiens (human)
Lineage: Eukaryota; Metazoa; Chordata; Mammalia; Primates; Hominidae
Source: Ensembl
UCCUGCCACAGGUCCUUUGCACGUGCUGUCCCCAUGACCCAGCAUGCCAGUGCCUGGCAUUCAGCACCUCCCUUCACUCCUUUCAGUCUCUGCUCAUCUGCUCAUCUGUCACCCCCAGACCAACUAACACCUAACACCUGCAGCCACAAUUUUUUUUUGGAGACACAGCCUCACUCUGUUGCCCAGGCUGGAAUGCCUCGGCUCACAGCCACCUCUGCCUCCCGGGUUCAAGCGAUUCUCCCACCUCAGCCUCUUGAGUAGCUUGGACUACAGGCACUCAUCACCAUGCCCAGCUAAUUUUUUUAUUUUUAGCAGACACAGGGUUUCACCAUGUUGGCCAGGCUGUUCUCAAACUCCUGACCUCAGGUGAUCCACCCACCUCGGCCUCCCAAAUAGCUGGGGGACUACAGGCAUGAGCUACUGCUCCUGGAGUUUUAUUUAAGUCUAAUUAAAGUUGAAAGGGCCACCUCUUUGUUGCUCUAUAUUUGUGGGGCGUGGCUACCCUAUUAUCGCAGCUAGAGCAGCUAGUCCCGUAGGAAUAGUAUAUGAGCAGUGUAUUUCAUUUUAAAGUUUCUAUUGGCCACAUUUAACAAGAAAGAGAAAAGAACAGGUAAUAUUAAUUUUAAUAAUGCAUUCUAAUUAAUUCAGUAUAUCCAAAAUAUUGUCAUUUCAAUAUGGAGUCG